ACGAAAGUCUGACGGAGCAACGCCGCGUGAGCGAAGAAGGCCUUCGGGUCGUAAAGCUCUGUUGUUAGGGAAGAACAAGUACCGGAGUAACUGCCGGUACCUUGACGGUACCUAACCAGAAAGCCACGGCUAACUACGUGCCAGCAGCCGCGGUAAUACGUAGGUGGCAAGCGUUGUCCGGAAUUAUUGGGCGUAAAGCGCGCGCAGGCGGUCUCUUAAGUCUGAUGUGAAAGCCCCCGGCUCAACCGGGGAGGGUCAUUGGAAACUGGGAGACUUGAGUGCAGAAGAGAAGAGCGGAAUUCCACGUGUAGCGGUGAAAUGCGUAGAGAUGUGGAGGAACACCAGUGGCGAAGGCGGCUCUUUGGUCUGUAACUGACGCUGAGGCGCGAAAGCGUGGGGAGCGAACAGGAUUAGAUACCCUGGUAGUCCACGCCGUAAACGAUGAGUGCUAAGUGUUAGAGGGUUUCCGCCCUUUAGUGCUGCAGCAAACGCAUUAAGCACUCUGCCUGGGGAGUA
RNAcentral lists this ribosomal RNA (516 nucleotides) under uncultured bacterium. RNAcentral's name for it is "bacterial SSU rRNA". It matches the Rfam family "Bacterial small subunit ribosomal RNA", at positions 375 to 882 of the family's 1533-position model. The record is from RNAcentral.